This is a long non-coding RNA of Amphibalanus amphitrite, 287 nucleotides long. RefSeq lists it as uncharacterized. NCBI's taxonomy places the organism in Eukaryota, Metazoa, Arthropoda, Thecostraca, Balanomorpha, Balanidae. The transcript has 3 exons. The record is from RefSeq and is a predicted model, not a curated record.
GAUGAAGAUGGAGAAAUGAGUGGAGAAAUGGACUUCAACGAAUCAAUAAUUGAAGCAGUCAGGAAGUACCCAGGUUUGUGGGACAAAAAGUCGAAGGACUAUGCAAAGAAAAAGACUGUAAAAGAUCUUGAUUGGCAAAGAGUGGCAGCUGAGUGCAGAUGUGAUGUGCAAGCUGCCAAAGAGAGGUGGAAGUCUUUGCGGGACUACUAUCUGGCCAGAAAAAGGAAGACUCUGCCCAGUGGAUCAGCAGCACCUGCAGGUGGCCAUCAGCACCUAGGACCCUAUGG